AGCAAAAAGACUUUUAGUUUGAACCCCCGAAUCUAGGCGAGCUAUUUUAAGACAGUUUCAUGAACGAACCCGUCUCUGUUGCAAAAGAGUGGGAAGAUCCUAAAAUAGCGGUGACAGACCUAACGAGCCUAGUGAUAGCUGGUUGCUCCAGAAAAGGAUUUUAGUCCUGCUUAAACCUUAAUGAUUUUCCAAAAAAUCUGUUUAAAGUUACUCAAAUAAGGUACAGCCUAUUUGAAAAAGGAUACAACCUUAAUUACUGGGUCUUAAUUUUUAAUUUUGGUAGAGUAGGCCUAAAAGCAGCCAUCUCAAACAAAAGCGUCAAAGCUUACCCAUAAACUUAACCAAUUCCUAUCCUCCCAUCUACCCCUUAUUUUUCCCAUAGAGCAUCUCUAUAUUUUUAUAGAAAAUUUUAUGUUAAAACUAGUAAUAAGAAGCAGACCAUUCUCUUUAACGCAAGUUUACGUCAAUCAGGACACUCCACUGACAAUUAAC
This 492-nucleotide ribosomal RNA is filed under the name Ranitomeya imitator (mimic poison frog). Its description in RNAcentral is "partial 16S ribosomal RNA". It matches the Rfam family "Bacterial large subunit ribosomal RNA", at positions 691 to 1384 of the family's 2925-position model. The record is from RNAcentral. Lineage: Eukaryota; Metazoa; Chordata; Amphibia; Anura; Dendrobatidae.